Molecule: long non-coding RNA, 207 nt
Filed under: Elaeis guineensis (African oil palm)
Lineage: Eukaryota; Viridiplantae; Streptophyta; Magnoliopsida; Arecales; Arecaceae
Description: long non-coding RNA (EGUI_LNC048858)
Source: RNAcentral
CUCAAUUACUUUGUCAGUGGGUCUACCACAUUAUUCAUGGAGCCUACUUUUUAAACUGCAACAUAUUUCUUUUCGAAGUAGUCACAUAUACCGCUGCUUUAUGUGCUUGGAUUUCUGGUGAGACCUAGGCUCCUUAGCAAAGGCUAUGGCAUCGUUGUCUUUGUAGUACAUUGUUGUAGCAUCUAAUGGCAUGACAUUCAGCUCUAC